This 17295-nucleotide long non-coding RNA is filed under the name Homo sapiens (human). Its description in RNAcentral is "long independently transcribed non-coding RNA 2827, transcript variant 2 (LINC02827)". Lineage: Eukaryota; Metazoa; Chordata; Mammalia; Primates; Hominidae. The record is from RNAcentral.
ACGACCUGCAGAUCCCAACACUCCAGGAUGGUGCAGGACAUCAGUCUCAAGGCAUCUUCCUUCAUGUUCUCUGGGGGAGAGACUGACUGUGGGAAUCAGCCUUGGUUGCAAAGGGAAGCUGAGAGAAGAGAGCAGCGCAGGGCACGGACAUGCCAGCCCAGUUACUGGAGAUAUCUGCCGCUGGAGACGGGUUCAGAGCCUAGUUUAAUAUCCCGAAGCAGGAAAGCUGAGAAUGUGCUGGAAAUGCUUGUUGAGGCCGACGUGUCAGGCAGCCCAUCAGUGCAGGAUGGAGCCUCGGUUGCAGAGAACUGCAGGGAGGUGGUGUGGAAGCUCAUUGGCUGUAAGAACUGCUCCGCUGCGACAGUGCUGCUGGAGGUGGUGGUGAACAGAUUUCUGAUGCCAAGCUGAUCAUCGUCUCAGCACCAGCAAAGACAUGCUAUUCCCGUCCCUGACGAGCAUUUCCUUCUUGAGAAAGUGAUUUUGAGGGGCUGCAGAUGUACUUGGAGGAAGGUUUGGGCCGGGACAGAUGACGUGCCCAUGUGGGAGCUGGACGGCCCCUCUCUGGGUAGCUCCCUGGGAACUCCCAUGUCCGCCUCCCGCUGCCUCCUGAUCCAAGGUGGAUGCACUUCAUUUGAGGCCUGGUCUUUCGUCCUUCCCUCUCCUCUUCGGGGACCACUUUGUCUAGUGCUAGACUCAUUGUGCUUCCCCCUUGGGGCUUCCUUCAGCCCUCAGCCGAUUCAAGACUUCAAAAGGAAGUUGGACAUGGAGAGGAAAAAAGAAAUGAAACCAGGAAGGAACCGCCAAGAAGCACACAACGCGUUUAUGCUGCCUUAACCACACGCUUGACUCUAAAUGGGUUUAAAAAUUCUUACUUGUGUUAGCCCAAGAAAGUUUCUGCAGCCGUCUUUUUGGUUUAAACAAUCAAAUACUCAAUAAUUCUGGGGCUGGUGGGCCAGGAUAUGGGUUACUCAGAUCUUCUGCUUCACCCCAUGCUCGGUCCCUGAGCCAGUUCUGUCAUUGGUUCUUUCAGACCAGGGCAGGAAAAGUCAAGAAAGCAAAAGCGGAUUCUAGGCUGUGGGGUUUGCUGUUUGCUAGCCCCCUGGCAGAGAUGCCUGUCCUUGCAGUCCUGAACUGGUGGCCAAGUGUGCAUGCAUGCACGUGCAGGUGUGUGCAUGUGCAGGUGUGCAUGCGUGUAUGUGCGCACACACAUUCAUGCUUGUACAUGUUUGUGUACACGCACACUUUUUUCUGCUUUCAAUUUCAAGCUGUUGCCUCCCUGAUGUGUCUGUUUAGUGACUUGAGCCAGAAAGAUUCCCGGUUCUAUGUGGGAUGAGAAUGAACGCAGGCAGGUCUCCACAGAAGUGAGUAAAGUAGAGCUGAGAAGAAGGACAUUGUCUCAUGCCAGCCUGUCCAAUAGCCACUUUGCCCCAGCCCUGCCUCAAGCCCCAGAGAGAUGACAAGGCUCUCUCUGUUUGUCGACUCCUUGAAGCUCAGAAAGGUGGGUCAAGAGGUGCCCGUCAAGCGUUUAGGCAAGCACAGGACCCUGAUCUUUACUAAGUCUCCACAUCUCUCUUGCACAGCCCUGGGCUCAGGGCUUGGUCCCCUCUGGGCAGGCCAUCCAGACUAAGUGACAGUCAGAUUGUGUGUGGGGAGGCUAGAGACAUCCAUUCUUCAUGGAUCAGCCUGAAUGGCUGGACAGAUCUUGCAAAUGGAUUGUGUAAGACAGAGUGUGGAAGAGGAGGCUGUGAUCAGUGGCUUGGAGAGCAGAGUGUGGUCAGGCGCUAAACCUAAGGCUUUUCUGGGAAGAGCUGUUAAGAUUAGACUGUUCUCCCAAAAAGCCAAUAAUUCUGAGUGUCUCCAUUAAUGCCUAGGUAGCCCAUACUCUCACCCAGCCGGUGCCCUUCAGCCUGGAACCUUUGGAUGGAGGAUUGGACCUUGUGACCUUCAAGUUCCCUUCCGAACCAAAUAUGCUCUAACCCAGGAGAUGGUGCUGUUGCCCAGGAAGCCGGUCACCAUGACGAGAGUACCCGCUCAGAUGAGGAUGCAGGCGGAGGCGGUGAAGGUGCUGGAGGCCAGGAUGCUGAGGUAGCUGCUCCUCUCCACCAGGGUCCAGAUGCCCAUGGCCAGGACAGCUGCCCCCCUGACCUGCAGGAGACCACCAGGUUGGAGCAGGGGGUGGCGGGGGCCUCAGGAGCUGCCAUUCCUUGAGUGCCCGCUGGGUACCAGGCACUUCUCGUGCAUUGUCUUAUUCAAUUUAGGCCUCCUAAGAGCCUGUGAGAACAGUGUGGUGGCCUAGCUUUACAGAUGAGGAAACGGAGGCUGAGAGAGGUUUGCAGGCUUGUCCAAGGUCACACAUGUAAGCGAGCUGCAGAUUUUGAAUCUGGGUCUGACUUCUGAUUCUGUGCAUCUUACUAUGGUUCCUACUGCAUAUGAGGCGGGGAGAAAUGACUUCAGUUUUGGGGAUGACUAAUAUACCUGAGUCCCUUCGCCUCCCCUCCCCUCAGAGCGCUCCCUCCCUCUGUCCACGUUUCCCUGAUGGAUGUGGAGGUGCCAUUUUGAGCACCUCCCCUUGUUCAAUCCUUAUAUUUGCCCAUUGGGGAAGCACGGCUGGGCCCCUUAUCCCUCCCUGUUCUACAGAGGAAGGAACUGAGGCCCAUGGAGGAGAGGUAAAUGGCCCGAGUUAGGGGCAGGGCCAGGACCAGGACUCAGAGCCCAGGGCCUGCUUGCUCAGUCUCGCUGCCUCCAUGAUGGAAGGGCCACUGUGCUGGACAAGUUGGAGCUCCCUGGGACCACAGGAGGAGGGAGGAGAGCCUUCUUUGCUGUCUGACUCCCUUUCAGUCCUGAGAGGGGGCAGGGACGGGACACUGCUGAUUUGCAGGUCUGGGGGAUGCCUUCUUGGAAAUAGAGUACCUGGGAAAUGUAGCUGGGGUGGUGGGGCUUGACUGUUCUUUCCUGCCAUGAAGCUGAGGAGCCUUUUAGUGACUGUUAUCCUCAGCAGAGCAUAGUGGGUGGGUGCAAGUGUCCUCAAGGUGCCAGAUGGGGGCUGUUUGGAGUGUUUUCCCAGGAUUUGGGUCCUCUGGGACCUCUGACCAUCUCUGUCAUUUGCUCCUGGGAAGGUGGACUUCUGUCUCCCAGUCUCUCUGCCCGCCAUUUAGGGACGGGUCCAUUUCCUCUGAUGGUCAGUAGAUGCUUCCUCAAGGGGUCUUGGGUGUAGCCAAAGCUAGAGAAGCCCUCCCGGGCUCUGUUCACAUCCCCUGAUGCUUUUCCCUGCAAGUUGUCUCCCGUCUGCCCCAGGAAGACUCUCUGUAUAACCUAACCUGUCACUUCCCAGUUCUCUGUUCCGGGGAGUCGCAGACCUUGGCUGAGUAAAUGGAAGGUGGUUCUUAGCAAUGAACAGGCACCUACAUUACUCAACUCGCAAGUAUUUUACCAUUUUGCCAUUUUCUCUUCUGAGCUUUGCAACAGCUCUGUGAGGAUGGGGCCGGGCAGGAGGGGCCAGGCUAUCCCUGUCUUGCAGAUAAGAAAAUUGAGGCUUGGAGAGAAUAAGAAUGUGCCCAAGAUGACACCAUCAGAGGGUCAGAAUUGAGGUGCAAACCCAGUUAUUUGAGGGCAAAUCCAGGCCUCUGUCCUUGGAUCCCCCAGAGUAGGCUGGGCCUGCUUCUCUCUUACUUCUACGUUUUUAAUAGACAUGAUUUCUUCAAAGUGCCAUUUUAUCUCCAUAGGUACCUCCAGACACCACCCAGGCUGCAGCAAAUGGAAUGGGAGAGGCUAACACACCAUAAUUUUUCAAUUCCAUGAUGCCCAUUUUUUCUCACAUUUUAACGUCUCUAAAAUUGGGGCACAUCUUAUGAUUGAUGGCAUCUUACAAUUACACUUGGCAGUACUUUUUCUUGGUGAUACAAAAAAACAACAGUGUAUCUUACAACUGAUAGCUUAGAUUCAGUGAAAUCCUAGAAUACAACAGGUUUGAAAAUUCUCUGUGGGUGAGUGUUAUCUGUGGCCCAUACAACCUCCAUGACCAGUGAGGGAUUUCCUGAGUCUGGGUUCCAGCAAAAUAUCCUGGACAGAAUUCUUUUUGACCCUCUACAGCAUGCCUGGAAGGCUUGGGCACGGGUCCCAACUGUGUAUAACUAGCUCCGUGACCUAAAGAGAGUCCCUGAACCUCUCCAGACCUCAGUUUCUUCACCUCUCGAAGAAGGGAGUGAGUUAUAUUAGACCAGUAGUUCCCAGCCUGUAACUACCAAGGACCGUUUGAUUAUUUUUUCCCAUGGGUUUUAUGUUUUGAGGGCUUUUGCCUAUCAACGUGCAUUAAUUAAGUAAUAAUUCACUUCUCAUUUUUUAUUAAUCAAAGGCACAUAUAGUGCCAGGAAGAGAUUCUGAACAGCAUGAGACAGUCAACUUGACCACACUGAGUUGAUCUAACUCCAGCAAAAGGCCAAGAAUCUUGGCUUUUCAUGAGAAUAGCCUCUUUAUAGAAAUAUGCACAUUAUCUGUGAUCUGUUAGGCUUCUUAAGCCUGUCCCUCAAACCAGAGUGGGGGCUGAGCAUAUGGCUCUGGGGCCACCAAAAGACAUAUGUUUGGACUGGUCUGGGGACCAUCUGUUGGGAGACACAGAACCUCACUGAAAGCCUGAUGAAAAGCUUUGCAUCCUUUGCCCAGAGAAAUGGUCAUUCACACAAAACAAUACCCUUGGGGCCAGGGGCUGAAGUCUAUUUUGCACUACCUAAUGACCUGUGGCCUUUAUGGUCUGUAGGCCUCCUGCACCCCUAUGGUGCCCUAAGACCUGGCUGUACAAUCACCUGGGGAGCUUUGAAAAACCCAGGCCCCCCUGCAGGCCCAUCCGUGUCUGUGGGAGUGGGACCCAGCCAUGAAUUUUUUAUGAAGUUCCUGGGUGAUCCCAGCUGAGAACCAUUGCCCAGAAUUAACGAAUGGGGUCCAGGUGUCCUGCCCUCCUCUUCCCAGUUGGUGACGCUGUGCUGAGCCUCGCAGAACACAGCGGCUUCCCGGUCGCUCAGUCCCAGGAGGGGCCCCUUGAAGCUCCAGGUUCCCUCCCCUGGGAGGAGUUGCCUGGAGGGCUACUGAGAUUUGUUCAGGACCUGAACCCCAUCCUUUCCUUCCGUGUGUUUGUUAGGGUGUUUGCUUUGGCAGAAGCUUUAAGGUAGAAAGUGGGGUAAUCCUGAGGAACAGAAUUUUCAUCUAAAGGGGCAAAAAUCAGAUUAUGCAAGAAAGGAAAAAACCAUGGCUCCCAGGGGAGUCGGAGGCUAUGAGAAAUGCAGCCCCGGAGAGGAGCAGUGUGGAUCUGGCCGACGGAGGCCUGCUCUCUGCCAGGGCACCUGCAGGCCACACAAAUGGGGCUGGGAUCUUGCAAAGCUUGCAAAGUGACGCCGGAUCCUGGGCCACGGGGCAGGGUCUGGAAGGGGUCUGGAGGGACACAUUUCCCUGAUUCAGGUCUAGAGAACAACAAAUCCACAUGCAUUGCUGUCCAGAAGAAAUCAGGAGAUGAGUCUGGGUCAACGGGGCCUGGUUAUACUUAGCCAGGGGUCUGCAGGAGCCAGAGUGCUGCAAGUCCUCCGGGAAGCUCCUGCCGGGGACGUGGUCAGCUCUUUAGAAAGCAAGCUUUCCUCUGAGCAAGGGAAGGAAAACUGCUCACUGUUGGAAUGGGUCACCAGAGGGUGCCACGGGAGGGCGGAAGUCAGCAGGUCUGCAUGCCAGUCCUGGCCGUGCCCUUGACUGGGUAUGUGACUGUGGACAGACAGUUGGCCUCUCAAAGCCUUAGUUUCUUCAUCUGCAAAUUGGGGGCACUGGAUGGGAAUAUCUCUGAGGUCCCUUCCACAUGGUUAAACUGUCCCUGUUAGUAUUGGGCAACAGUGUUCUGCCAAGACACCACCAGCAAGAUGCUUCUGGACCAGCGGCUCAUGGCUGUCACUCAAACCACUUGGAAACUGCCCAGUUCAACAGAAAGCAGUGGAAGACUGGUGGGGCAGGGAGAGCGCUGACCCCAGUGAGCGGUUUUAACAACCAUUGGCGUAGAGUUGAUUCAACAGUAUUUGGCUCUUUGUAGAAACUGGGUUGGUUUUCUGUGGAGUAUUAACUGCAUUUCUCAAAACCAUAGCCUGUGGCCGAUUAGCCAGCAAACCCUGCAUAGGGUGAAGUCAGGCAAUGAGGACGUGAGCAGACCAGUAAGGGCAGAGCAGGUCACCCAUGCCGUGUAAUUUUAGGAACUUCUCAUUUAUAGGAGAGAAACAUUGCCAAAGUGUGGCCCACGUCAUCAUGGGGAGAAGCGUUAGCUUGAACUGCCACACAUGCCUGGGGCUGGAUAGAAAUAAGGCAGCAGGCUUGAAGGAAAGCAGGCAGUGGCGUAACAGUAAAUGUAGGAUUUUUCUUUGUCCUGCUAGCUAGGGCUUCUGUGUUGACAGCUGGGGGGAGGAUGGGGUGGGGCAGGAGCCAGGACCAUGGGACGCCCAGUAAAGAAGGAUCCCCCGGGCAGGGGAGUUCUCUACCUUCGGUGCUGGGGUUGGGUGGGGGAGCCCAUGGCAUGGGAGGCAGAAAUGCACUGGCUGACAGUAUAGUUCAUUUGUUUGAUGUUUGCUACUAGGAACCAAGCAUCACGCUGGACUGAAAAGGUUUUUGGCCUGGACAGGAGUUCCCCCACUGGGAACCACACACAUCAUCCGUGUCUCUCCUUCCAGGUCGGUCUGGUCAAUGGCACCAUCACCCACCCACCCUAGACCAGACUAGACACCUCAGGGUCAUUAUUGACUCCUUCCUCUCCGCUCAAUGACAGCCAGUUCUCCUCUGCUCUCAAACCUGUCUCCAUCUCCCCACCGUCAGCUCCCAGCUCCUGCUCUACCUGCAGGCUGGCAGGCUGUGCCCCAAGGCACUCCCUGCUGAGCAAUCCCCACAGGCUCCAACAGCCAGAGCCCCAAGCCCAGACUCUUUUGCAUGGCCUCAGGGCUCUUACGUGUCUGGCCUUAACCUAUUUUUGGCUUUAUCUUCUGCUACUUUCCUUCCUCCGUACCUGGGCUUUAAUCACCAUGAACAAAGUAGUUGCUUUUCUUGUAAACAUUGUAGAUACCCAUUAACUAUGGCAGCAAUAGUAGAGUGGUAAAGAGGGUGAACUCUGGGGUGAAGUACCGGUGUCCGAGUCCAAGCCCCUCUGUUUACGGCUGUGUGGAUUUGGAUAGGUUACCAAACUCUGGGCCUCUGAGAGGCUCUCUCCUGUCCCUUCCCAACCUGCUCACAUUGUUCUCUUUGCCGUUCCUUUUCCACUGAAUUCCUACUCACCCAUGAAGCCCCAUCUCCAGUGCGGCACCUGCUCUGACUCUGCUGGGCAGGUGAGCUUGUCCCUCUCGUGCACACCUGUGGCACUGCUCCCCUCACAGCAGCCCUCGGCCCGGGGGUGGGAGACUCCCCCGACUCCCCUCAGAACCCCGGGCCCAGCAAACCACCUGGCACCUGGCAGCCGCCCACAUGAGCAUGGGACUCCACGAACGGGGCUUUGUAGGGGGCUUUGGAAAUAGCGGCAUCUGCUCCCCUCACCCGUCUGUCUGCUGAGCUCCUGAGGCAACAACGAGUAUCCCCCUUCCCUGUUUUAUGGCCGUUUUUAUUUUUGGAGGGGCAGUCUGCAAAGUGCCAGCAGUCCCCGAGGGCAAUGGACUUUCCUCCAGGUCAUUAGGAAGAAGCCCCUGGAAAGGAUCUUCAUGCCAGACCAAUGCUUGGCUAUUCUCGUUCUUUCUUUCAACCCACACCCACUGUGCACUUGCUAUGAGGACGCCAGGCUCUCAGGCCAUAGUGGGGUCCACACCUGUCACUUCACCUGCCCUCAUGUCGCAGGCCAGUGACUAGAUGGGAAGGCCCAGCAAUCACCAGGGUGAUUUCCAUUAGAAAGAGAGGAGAAUGGGUCUAAUUUCAGGGAGGGGGGCUGGCAAACACAGCCUGGGGGCUCAGGAGAGGACUGGGAGGCCAUGUCUGAGCAAGGCUCGGUUGCUUGUAAAGAAUGGUACCCCGUUCCCACAUCAGAAGAGUCAGCUGAACCCCGGGCUGCAGUCCCAAUAGUGCACUGCUGAGCCUGGCGCUCACCUGCAGGGUAGAUGGCACCUCAGUGCCACACCUGAGCCUCUGAGCUCUCCAGGAGGGCAUAGGCAGGCAUGUAUCAGGCACCACUGCUCACCCUGCUCGUGAGUGACGUUUUUCUGAGCACCAGGCAAGCACUUCUCCCCGGCUCUGUCCAUGCUGCCAUUGCCUUGGUUUGACUGAAUCUUCAAGGACAGGCUUGUCAUGCUAAGGGCCAUUUUCCACUUUGAGGCAUUCUUUUCUUGGUUCUCUGGUUUUAAAGAGCACUUGAUAAAAUAAAUCAGAGCACUGCUUCCCCCUCUGUCUUCCCCAUCCCAUCUACCCUUAUAACAAGAGCAGAAUCUCAUGGGGCAUACCGAGGGGUGGAGCUGGAAAGGAACAUAAAAUCACCUUCCAAACCCAGCUCAGUAUCCAAGGGAAACCUUCCUUGGAGCUGUCUCUCCCCACUCCUCAGCAAACCAUUCUGUCCUCUGUACCAGCUCCAUGUCUUGCCCAUGUUUUUGUAAUUAUACUCAUCACUGCCUAUUUGUUUUAUUUGCUACCUUGUGUGUCCUCUUUUAGCCUCUUGAUAAAACCUUAUUCAUCUUGGUGUCUCCAAUGGAGUCCUACAUGUGGGAGGGAAGAAAGAAGGAAGAAAGGAAGGGAGGGAGGAAGGAAGGGAGGAGGGAAUCGAGUUCAACCCCUUUUAUAUUCUGGAGGGAGAAACUAAGGCCCAGAGAAAAGUGACUUUUCCACAGUCACACAACUAGCCAGGGGAAGCAUGGAGCUAGAACUCAAGAAUCCUAAUGCUCAGUUUAGUGUCCAUUUUACCAAUUGGGCUGCUGACCCACACGAAGCUGCUUGGCCCAGGAAGCAAGUUGUGCGGUGCCUGGGCUACAGUAGAUCUAGAGUCCCUGAGCUGCAGAUGGGCAGCUAGGAGGGGUGACCACAGCUUCAUCCUGACUUGUCUCACUCACCAUGGCCCCGAGCAGACCAAAUGCACAUCCCUCUUGAUAUGGUUUGGCUGUGUCCCCACCCAAAUCUCAUCUUGAAUUGUAGUUCCCAUAAUCCCCACAUGUCGUGGGUGGGACCUGGUGGGAGGUAAUUGAAUCAUGGGGGCGGGUCCCCCAUGCUGUUCUCAUGAGUGAGUUCUCAUGAGAUCUGAUGGUUUUGUAAGGGGCUUUCCCCCCUUUGCUUGGCACUUCUCUCUCUCCUGCCACCUUGUUUGCUUCCCCUUCCACCAUGAUUGUAAGUUUCCUGAGGCCUCACCAGCCAUGCUGAACCAUGAGUCAGUUAAACCUCUCUCCUUUAUAAAUAACCCAGUCUUGUGUAUUUCUUCAUAGCAGCAUGAGAAUGGACUAAUACACCCCUCAGCCAUGGCCCUGUCCCCCAGCAGAUCCUGACAGCCAAGAGGGGUAGAGGUGCCCCGAAAGCCGUGGGGAGUCCCAUGCCAUUCAGCAUCUCAAGAAGCGGUGCAGCAGAGAAACCAGCUACGAGGUCCCUCACCUGUUUUUCCUCAAAUGGCAAGCCCAGGAAGGGGGCAGAGGCCACGUUCAGUGGGGUGAUGCUGUCCGAGGUGAAGGGCUUUCUAGCUCUGGCAAAGAGGUGAGCAGAAGGCCCCACCAGGGCCUCCCUAGAUCCUGAAGUGAUGCUCCCAAGCCACCUCAUUCCCCUGCCAGGCUCGGUCCUCCAUCUUCUCUGCCACCUGUCUUGGUCCCAUGCCUCCUUUAAGGGCUCCCAAGCUUCCCUGUAGGCUGAGCCCUCCUGGCGGCCUGGGAAGGAGCAAGGUCUCCGCUUCAGGAGCAGAGGCAGCCUCUCCAGUCACGGAGUGCUUCCCAUUGCCUGGCAGAGCUCCUGGGAGGCUGGAAAAGUUUUGAUUAUGAACACAGCCAAGCAGCUAAUUAAAAUAAUAAAUUAGAGAAAAACAUUGCAGGGGUAAUGGUAGCUGCAGGGAGCCGUGGAGGAAAAGGGAGGGGAAAGAAACACAUCUUCUAGGUGGCCGCCUAGGAAAGCCUGGGCCACAUUUUCUUUUUAGGGCCAUGAAAGAGGCAUGAAAGUGUGGCAUUUUGGUUCCUCCUCUGCUCAGCAGGAUCAUCCCAUAAUGAUUAUGGCUUAACUGAAACCCUAGGUGGGGUGGGGCGGUGGGAGUCAGAGAUAGGGUGACGGGGAAGAAUUGCCACCUGAAUCCUGCUUCGUGUUUUGCAAACUUUGGAAUGUGACCCAUUUGGGUGAUAAAAUAAAUUUAGUGGGUUGUAACCUGCACUAAAAAAAGUGAGCUAAAAUAGUAGAGAAAAUAUCAGCAUGCAUCUGUAUUAGGAUUUUCUAGAUGGGUAGAACUAAUAGAAUCUACGUAUAUAUGAAAGGGUGUUUAUUAAGGAGAAUCGACUCACAGGAUCACAAGGUAAAGUCCCACAAUAGGUCGUCUGCAAGUUGAGGAGCAAGGAAGCCAGUGGUGGAUCAGUCCGAGUCCCGAAACCUCAAAAGUAGGGAAGCCGACAUUGCAGACUUCAGGCUGUGUCCAAAGGCCCAAAAGCCCCUGGCAAACUACUGGUGUAAGUCCAAGUGUCCAAAAGCUGAAGAACUUGGAGUCUCAUGUUCGAGGGCAGGAAGCAUCCAGCAUGGAAGAAAGAUGAAGGCCAGAAGACUCAGCAAGUCAAGUCCUUCCAUGUUCUUCUGCCUGUUUUAUUCUAGCCAUGUUGGCUGCUGAUUAGACGGUGCCCACCCACAUUGAGGGUGGGUCUGCCUGCCCCAGUCCACUGACUCAAAUGUUAAUCUCCUUUGGCAACACCCUCACAGACGCACCCAGGAAAAAUACUUCACAUCCUUCAAUCCAAUCAAGUUGACACUCAGUGUUAACCAUCACAGCAUCAUAUACCGUAAGGGUAAGUUUAGUUUUCUGAAUGUUUCGUGUGAGCAUUUCUUAUGCUUCCAUGCAUAUCAUGAGUCACCAUCAGAAAAGUCUCAAAGUCAGCACUAUGGACAGAGAAAGUCAUUAAAGAGACCAGGCAUGCCCAUCAGUCUAAUCAUAAUAGUUAUGCAUAAUAGCUAAGCACUGAGUAUGUGGCACAAAUUGUGCUAUUUUUCUAAAUAGUAACCUCUAAUUCUUACAGGUAUUGGUAUUCUCAUGUAGCAUAUGAAAAAACUGAGGCUCAGUGAGAUUAAGUGAUUUGCCUAAUGUCUUAGUUCAAGCUGCUGUAACAAAAUGCCACAGUCUGGGUGGCUUAAACACCAGAAAUUAAUUGUCUCACAGUUCUGCAGGCUGGGAAGUCCAAGAUCAAGGUGAUCUGUUCUGGGUGGGGCUCUCUUCCUGGCUGGCCAAUGGCCGCCUUCUUGCGGUGUUCUCACCUGGUGCUUGUCUAUGGAGAAAAAGAGAGCUCUCCCUCUCUUCCUGUUCUUAGAAGACCAUCAAUCCUAGCAGAACAGAGCCAUGCCCCUAUGGACUCAUUUAGCCUUACUUACCUCCCUGUCUCCAAAUACAGGCACAUUGCUGGUUAGGGCUUCAACAUAUAACUUUUGGGGGACACAAUUCAAUCUGUAGCACCCAAUGUCCCAGGGCAAAUAAAUAAUGGAGUCUGAAUUUGAAUCCAAACUUGAGUCUGAGCCUUCCCAGCAUGCUGUGCUGCCUCGUUAAUUCAUGAAUGCCCCGAGGACACUAGGAAAGUGUGCAAUUUAGAGCUGGGGCUGCAAAGCGUGGUGACCAAGCACACAGGCCUGGGGCCAGGCAGCACUGGGCUACAGCUCCGGGACAAGGCACAGUGCUUCCCAUUCCUAAAGCAGGGCUCUAAGAGAGCCAUUCACAGCUUCAGGCAGGGCUGGGAGGAUUAAUGGGAUGAUGCACCUGCAAGGACAAGCACAGAGGCCCACCAUAGUGAGUUCCAGGAACGCUGGGAACUUUGUUUACUGAUAGACCCUAUGGGCCUAGACCCAUGCCUGGCACUUACUAGGUGCUUCAUACAAAUUGUGGACUGAGUUUUUAAUUGUCAUUUUCAUCACUGACCUGGUAUUAGAAUACCUGGGUGCCAGUGUUAGCUUUAGCAACACUAUCAGACCUUGGGUGAGAUUCAGAACCGGGUGGCCUGUUCCCUGUCUGUAAAGUGAGGAUAAUAAUGACAGUGACCAUCCAACAGCUCCUGUCAAAUGCUGGGCUCAGAACUGCAUUGGGGCCAACCCAGGUUUCCCCUCUCUGUGCUGGGUUUCGAUAAAGAGUGCAGGGUGAUAGACUAGAGAGGACCUCGUUCUGGGGGAGAAAGGAAGCUUGUGUUUCCCCUGUGCUGUGCCUCAUACCUCGGCAGGCUCAGGCAGGAGGACCGCGAUUGGACGCUGGGGGUGUCUGUGUGGGAGGGAACCUUCUCUUGUUGGAAGGGAUCCUCACUGGCCAACGCCCCCUCCUGGGGAAUUCUGGUGAGUUCCUAGGGACUUGGUGCUCUGUCCCUAGGGACUGGGCCUGCAGGCUGCCCAGUGUCUACCCCGGAGGAGAUUGCAGCAGGUCUUGGGGACCGGACGCCAGGAACCCCUGUGUUGGAGACUGAGGUCUGAACCUUCAAAAUCCAACCAUCCCCCACCAGGGAAAGAAGUCUGAGCUGAGCUGGUCCCUGGGAAGCUGGUCCACGGCCAGCCAGGCCCUCGGCAGGGGUAUUUUUAACUGGAAGCAGGGAGCGCUGCAUGAAGGAAGCUCCCCUUGCUGGCAACUGCACCAGUAACACACUUGCUGCGCAGCUGUGUGCACUGCCACCCACAGGCCCUUCUCCUUCCCUCCCCAAAAGGAUGCACACACCCAACAGGCCCUGGGUCCUCCCCAACCGUGGUCACCAUGUCUGCUGCCCACUCCCACCUACGGGACCUUGGCACAGGCAGGAGCGCAGGGUCCGAGGCCUUCCACAAAUAUUUGGGCAGAGCACCUCAAGACAGCCCUAGGGACUAAAGAGCCGAUGACCCUCUGGCCCCAUCUGCUACUGCCCAGCCCUCUCCUGGUGCCCGGCCGGUGGUGUCUACACGGAGUCCACCUCCUCUACCCUCCCGUCUCUGCACUUUCCUGAAAGUGCUUUCCCCACAGCUGCCCCUCUGUUGCUAAGCCCAGUGGCCUCUCACCGCUGACCUUCUCAGGCCCCUGGCUUCCCUCCCACCUCGCUGACUGUUCCGCCUCAGGCUCCCCUGAUCAAACUGUAAGCACUGAUCAGCUUGUCUGGGGCUCUCUUGGUUUUAGACUAAAAGUCUCACAUCCUGGGAACUCCCUCAGUUCAGGGCAAACUGGGACUGUGGGUCACCCCAGACUCACCCUGACCUUGGGGACACCCCAGAUCACCCUGACCUUGGGGACACCCUAGACUCACCCUGACCUGUGGGGACGCCCAUGUCUCCUUCUUGCCUCUCGUUUCCUCUUGAUCUCCAUGCUCUCCCUAAGGGAUCUCCUGUAUUUCUGUGGCUGCAGCUGCCAUUGGGGUGGGGAUGAUCCCCAAGUCUGGGGUGCCAGCCUAACUUUCUCCUGAGAUCCAGACCUGUAAGCUAACUGCCUACAGGGCAUCUCUGCUCAGAGGUCUCCUGGCACCUCGAAAAGUCACCAUGUCUACAUCUGACCUCACCAUCUGACCCCAAACUUCUCUCUCCAGUCUCUGGUUUCAAUGAAGAGCUCUACCAUCCAUCAGGAGAUUCAUAUCCCAGGCACCUCUUCCAGCCAAAGGAAUCUCUUCUUGUCAAUUUCACCUCCUAAGUCCCUUGACUCCAAGUAUUUCUGUCCCCGCUGUCAUCCCCACAGUGCAGGUCAUGACCAUCUCUCACUUUGAUCGGUGCGAAGUCUAGAGGAAGUGUCAACAGUGGCCAUUCCUGGGAUGGCCAGUGGUAUGGGUUGGACUGUGUCCCCCCAAAUAUAUGUUGAAAUCCUAACCACCGGAACUGUGAACAUGGCCUUAUUUGGAAAUAAGAUCUUUGCAGAUGUAGUCAAGUUACAAUGAGGUCAGAAGGGUGGGCCCUAAUCCAACAUGACUGGCGUCCUUGGAAGAGGAAGACGUCACGCGAAGACAGAGACACACAGGAGAGCAGCAUGUGACAGCAGAGGCCUUAGAGAUUGGAGGGAGGCAGCUGCAAGUCAAGGAGUGCUGAGAAUUGCCAGCCACUCUCAGAAGCUGGAAGAGGUGAUAAAGGGUCCCUCCCCUAGAAGCUCCAGAGGAAGCACAGCCCUGCUGAUGCCCUGAUUUUGGACUUGUAGCCUCCAGAACUGUGAGAGAGUGAAUUUCUGUUGCUUAAAGCUAUCCAGUCUAUGGCACUUUGCUACAGCAGCCCUGGGAAGCUAACAUAGGGAGAUAAGGACAAUUUUCAUUUUCUUAGCAUACUUUUCAGUAUUUUAGAGGUGAUCUGUAGUGGAUACACAAGACUUUUAUGAUUAGGAAAAACAUAGUCAUUCUUAAAAAGAAGUGCUCAUCAGUAGGAAUCCUAAGCGUCCUAUUGGAUUUGUCCCUGAGAAUUGAAGCCAUCUAUGCCACACAGUUUACUGUCCUCAUCAACACAGCUUUUUUAUUCCACAGGAGACUCUUGCCCAGGAAGAUAAAAGCUGAACAUAAUUUUAUUGUUCAUUUCGGGGACUUUGCAAAUAACAUUUACACAAACAGCAGAUUGUACAACUUUUUAAUAGCAUCUAAUGACUGUCUUUUCACCAAGACUCUUCAAAAACUCUUGCCUUGCCAUGUCUUCCCAUCCCAAACUCCUAGGUCAUGGCUCUUCCCAAUCUUAAUCAAGUCCCUGCAGGAAAGAUGCUCAAAACUCAGACAUAUCCCAUUUGCAUUUGGUUUUCUGAGAUGAUUCUAAGACUCUGUAAAGGGUCUUCUCCCUUACCAUGGUAGCAGGAAACCUGGCUGCCUUAUCUGAGGGUUGAUUUGGUGGUAUUUUCAGGCAUUUGACAUCUGAUAUUCAAAAUAUUGCAUUUAUGGAAUGCAACCCCAAUCAUCCCUGAAUUGUAGCCAGGGAAACAGGCUCCUCGAACUUCAGUUGCUCAAGGCCACACCAUUAGUAGCUGGCAGAGCCUAGGUCCAGCUGCCUGCAAAGCCUGCACUCUUACCCUUCUCCUACUUUCCCAAAUUUAGUGAGACUGUAAUACAAAAUACUUAUAUUCUGGUGUCUGGCUAUUUUUGGGUGGUAUUCGGCUCCCAAUUGUCCAGAUAAUGGCCCCAAGCGGACAGGCUAUGGUCCUCAGGAAGACAUCACCCAGGCAGGUUUCCUGCGGGGAGUCACCAUAGAGACCAUUUCCAUCACAGGCAGCAGCAGCCUGAGCUUCCGGGACUUCUGUUUCCCUGCCCUGGGCCUGGAGAAUGUUAACCAUGAAAGGCAAAUGGGCUUCGGUUGGAAACAAGCCAUUAUUAGCCACUAUUUCAGGCAGUCACAUUUCCCACAAGGCACUUGUGCAACAAGUUAGCAGGGAAGAAAGAAGCCGAGCCUUUGUACGGCGGGGCCAGAACACAAAGCUCAUUGUGAUGUUUGUGCUUCUAUUCAGACGCCACGUGGUACGGACUCCACGCCAACCUGCAGACUGGAUUCUUUUCUUCCCCCUCAGUAACAAACAUACACAUUUGCUUUAAAGUAGGCAGAAUUUGCCCAUGGGUGGUCUUUGAUUUGGAAGAAAUCAACUUCAAAGUGGUGACUCACAAAAAACAAAGGUGGCUUGACUCAUUCAGUGCUCGGGAAAGGGGAUGUGUGUGCAGAAUUCACUCAUCCAGAAGCAGAAGUUGAAGACAAGGAGUAAAUACUUCAGGUAGACAAUCAGCCAGUCAUCCUGCUUGGUCUUGUAAUGGGCCAUGGCUGCUGAGUCUAGAGAAGGCACACAGGCUGGGCUGGGGAAUUACCGAGAGCCACCUCACCCCUCCAGGAGCCAGGGCGCCUCAGCCAGGUUCCCUUUGAAGGGCUUAUUUGCCUGUCUUGCCAGGGAUCUUUGAGGCUGUGGGUGUGCAGCAUAGAGUAAAGAUCAGGGAAUCGCAAAGGCUACUGGAUGCCUUAGUGGAGGUGAAUUUGGGCAGAAUUUUCCAGACCUUCAGGUGCCGGUUUUGUUCUCUUGACAAAGGUCUAACCCACAAAUCUUCCACAGAUUUCCCUGGCCUUGUUGUGUUCUUAUUCUCUUUCCCUGUCUCAUCAGGGUUGCAGGACACAAGUUUAUCUGUCAUAGACACACACUCUUUCUCUCUCUCUCUCUCUCUCUCUCACACACACACACACGUUCAGCAUGGCUGCUUUGCAGUGGAAACCUGUACUGCACAUCCACAGGUGUGGCAGGAGUCCCAUAUCAGAGCAUCUGUGCCGGAAAGACCUCAAUGAUGACCCAUUCUACCUUACCUGGCCUCUACACCCCUUGACUUCCCAGAUGAGGAAGCAGGUCCAGACAGGCCCAGACUGUUUGGCAGAAGAAGUCUAAGAGCCUCUGGAGUCUUAACUCCUUGGGUUCAAACCCUGAUCUGUCACAAGGUGUGUGACACUUUGGGCAAGUGACAUGACUUCCCAUCUCUCAGUGUUCUCAUCUGUAAAUGGGGAUAAUGAUACCUACAUCACAGGGUUGUUUUGAAGAUUGAAUGGGAUAAUCUAUGUGACGUGUUUAGCAUAGUCCUUGGCACAUAGUAAGUAUUUAAUGUUAGCUUUUAUUAUUACAUGCCAUAGAGCUGGUACUAGAACCUACGACCCCAAUCCUAAAACUCCACUCUUUGCCCCAGCACCAUGCUCUGUCUCUUGUCCGGACACCCGUCAAUGGACUUUCUAGGGAAAGUCAACAUUGGUGAUAAAGGCAGAGAAGGCCCACUGUACUCAGUAAUCGCAUUUGCUUCUUAGUCAGUCUGAACCUCAGUAAGUCUGAAGCCUCUAUGGUUUCCUCUUCACCUGGACCUACUUGUACCCCUGGGCACCUGCACACUCACAGAGUAGUUGCUCUUUAAGAAAUUGUCCCCAUUUUGGGAAGCUCUUUUAUUUCAGAACCAUACGCAAUGAGGCAUUGGUUUUGCCCAUGACCUUCUCUUCCUCUAUCAUUCCCAACCCCCCAUCAGGCCCUCCUCCCCGCUUGCUCUUGCCUCUUUGGCUGGUGCUGGGCCAAAGCCCAAAUUACUUCCCUGAGCCACUGCUCUGCCUUUUAUUUCAAGCUUAUGGGCUCAUGGAGACAGGGAGAGAAGAGGAGAGAAAAGAAAAGGUGGCUGUCUUAUUUGGGAUUUCUAUUUGCAGACCUUGAAGAAGGUAAUUUAAGACUGUUAGUCUUCUCAUUAAAAAAAGACAAAACCCAUU